UUCAGUCGCCACCACAACUGCCAAAAUGAGCAGCCUAGCGUUCAGUCGCCACUACAACUGCCAAAAUAAGCAGCCUGGCGUUCAGUCGCCACUAUAGUUUCUAAAAUAAACAACGUGGCCUCAAAAAAUAGUUACGAAUGCGACGAUUGGGAAACUCAACACACGAAUCCAAAUACACGAAUUACACCUUAUAAGAAUAAACAUCUUAACGUUAUCGUUCACUGGUAACUACGUUCUGUGAUAUACAUACAUACAGCAUAUAAUAAGGCUUUUCUCAAAUUAAGCAAUAACAAUUGAGCAAAUACAAACGGCCAACAUCAGAAGAUAAAUACUGAACAAUAAUAAAGAUUAGACAUUAAAUGCUUUUCUUUCAGUAUUCGUCCAUUACGGAACCUAAGAAGAUAUCAAACAAUACUGAACAAAAUAUCAAGUAAUGAUGUAUCAAUUACUUAAAUUACAGUAAAAAUAUCAUCGAAAGGAAAAUUGAAGAAAAUAAAGAGGAAAGAAUGAAGGAUAACUGGUCAAGGAAAAUUACAAGAUUCCAAAGAAAGCACGAUCAAUACUAUCUGAAAGCAAAACCUACAAAAAAAUCGCCGAUUAAAACUUUAAGGUCAUCUUCGACAAGGAAAAAGUCGAAAUCGUGGAUAACAAUAUAAAUAUGAUUCUUAUCGCUGAUACCGUUAAGGGAUAAAAAUCCAGGGUCCGCGUCCAAAGGUCGCGUGAUCGGGAGGGAAGGAGGCUCGGCUGCGCUGGCGGUAAGGCGAAUCGG
Molecule: long non-coding RNA, 769 nt
Organism: Cephus cinctus (wheat stem sawfly)
Lineage: Eukaryota; Metazoa; Arthropoda; Insecta; Hymenoptera; Cephidae
Exons: 4
Source: RefSeq, a predicted model, not a curated record